UUCUAAAAAUAAAUUUUAUGAGCUUGUUAUUAAUAUUUUAAUUAGGGCAAAUCUCCAAAAUAGCACAUUUCUAAGUUUAUAUCACAAAAAUAGCACUCCAAAACUAAAAUGACCAAAAUAGCACCUUUCUAAGUUUAUCCUUUGAAAAUUUUAAUUUUUUUAUUUUUCAAAAUUUGAAAUCUUAUCCCCAAAACUUCAUUUCUCAACUCUAAACCCUAAACCCUAAACCAUAAACCAUAAACUCUAAACCCUAAACCUUAAACUCUAAACCCUAAACCCUAAACCCUAAACCCUAAACUCUAGACUCUAAACCCUAAACUCUAAACCCUAAACCCUAAACCCUAAACCUCAUCCUUUAACUCUAAACCCUAAGUUUGUAACUUUUGAUAAAACAUUAAGUGCUA
RNAcentral lists this long non-coding RNA (404 nucleotides) under Brassica napus (rape). RNAcentral describes it as "long non-coding RNA (BNAP_LNC011106)". The record is from RNAcentral. Lineage: Eukaryota; Viridiplantae; Streptophyta; Magnoliopsida; Brassicales; Brassicaceae.